CCUACGGGUGGCAGCAGUGGGGAAUAUUGGACAAUGGGGGGAACCCUGAUCCAGCCAUGCCGCGUGUGUGAAGAAGGCCCUCGGGUUGUAAAGCACUUUCAGUGAGGAAGAACGCCUGGUGGUUAAUACCCAUCAGGAAAGACAUCACUCACAGAAGAAGCACCGGCUAACUCCGUGCCAGCAGCCGCGGUAAUACGGAGGGUGCGAGCGUUAAUCGGAAUUACUGGGCGUAAAGCGCGCGUAGGUGGCUUGAUAAGCCGGUUGUGAAAGCCCCGGGCUCGACCUGGGAACGGCAUCCGGAACUGUCAAGCUAGAGUGCAGGAGAGGAAGGUAGAAUUCCCGGUGUAGCGGUGAAAUGCGUAGAGAUCGGGAGGAAUACCAGUGGCGAAGGCGGCCUUCUGGACUGACACUGACACUGAGGUGCGAAAGCGUGGGUAGCAAACAGGAUUAGAUACCCUAGUAGUC
RNAcentral lists this ribosomal RNA (465 nucleotides) under Vreelandella stevensii. RNAcentral's name for it is "partial 16S ribosomal RNA". It matches the Rfam family "Bacterial small subunit ribosomal RNA", at positions 338 to 795 of the family's 1533-position model. The record is from RNAcentral. Lineage: Bacteria; Pseudomonadati; Pseudomonadota; Gammaproteobacteria; Oceanospirillales; Halomonadaceae.